UGGUGUCCUAUUUAGCUAUUAAAUUUGUAUUGUGCAUGAUUUAUUGAUGAAAAUGUCUCUGCGGUGCUGGCCUGGAACGAUGCAUAAUUAUGCUUGAAAGGUGUGUAAUUUUUCAGUAAUGAAAGGAAAGACAGCCUGCAAAGAGACAUUCGAAGGCGAAUUUAAGGAAGUAGCGAAAUAACUUAAAAUUUAUCAAGAUGAACGUGAAGAUGAAAGAGAAUUUUUUUACCAGUUUUAAAGUCACUGUAUUGAUCAUAACGUAAGUUUUCAGUCCCUCCUGCAUUUUUUAAUCUUAAAAGCACCUAAGAUAACAGUAAUAAAAGGCGGUUGAAUCUAGACGAAACUCAGUCUUUGCAGUCUCGAAAAGGAAGCAUCAGUCAACGAAGUUCAGGAAAAGUUGGAAUAUUCUUGCUUAGAACGAACUACGGCGCCGAAAGAUGGGAAAGGAGAAACGUAAAGGCUUGCUCGCAGCGAACAAUAGAACGAAAGAAUCGUAAAGAGAUGUCGGACAUGCCUUGGGACAUUUAUGCACGCAAAUACAAAACUCGAUUUCGACAAUAUGCAUGAGUAAAAAUUGCCUGGAAUUUGGCUUUUUUGACUGAGAUAUAAACUGAACACUCUUCUUUUUACCUCCUUCAUUUUCAAGUUUUUCGCCUGUGCAUGAUUUUUGCAUGAAGUCUGGUCGUAUCAAGCGCAUGCGGAGUGAAUACAAGUGAUUCUGGGGCCCCAAUCACUUGUGUUUUCUCCAUCUUGACGACUAUAUAGUCCGGACAAAAUUAUCGCUCAGAGAGCGCCUAAAACAUAAAAACAUGAAAUAUGUAUUUCUAGAAGGAGAUGAUAGUCCAGUGUUCUUGCUUUCUUGUACAAAAACGUGCAUGACAUUUUGUAUUAAAACGUGCAUGACAUUUUGUAUUCGCGUGCGCAAUGCGAAGGCCACGAGUGACUUACGUUGGAGUGUCGGAGAUGAUGAAGGAUCGUCGC
Molecule: long non-coding RNA, 981 nt
Filed under: Dendronephthya gigantea
Lineage: Eukaryota; Metazoa; Cnidaria; Anthozoa; Malacalcyonacea; Nephtheidae
Description: uncharacterized LOC114531601, transcript variant X3
Source: RNAcentral